AGGGCUAUACUCAGUGGUAGAGCACAUGCCUAGCAUGCAUGAGGUCCUGGGUUCAAUGCCCAGUACCUCCG
RNAcentral lists this transfer RNA (71 nucleotides) under Camelus bactrianus (Bactrian camel). It matches the Rfam family "tRNA". Rfam says of the family: Transfer RNA (tRNA) molecules are approximately 80 nucleotides in length. Their secondary structure includes four short double-helical elements and three loops (D, anti-codon, and T loops). RNAcentral also lists the same sequence under 2 other names. Lineage: Eukaryota; Metazoa; Chordata; Mammalia; Artiodactyla; Camelidae. The record is from Rfam by way of RNAcentral.